RNAcentral lists this long non-coding RNA (205 nucleotides) under Vigna radiata. Its description in RNAcentral is "long non-coding RNA (VRAD_LNC005627)". Lineage: Eukaryota; Viridiplantae; Streptophyta; Magnoliopsida; Fabales; Fabaceae. The record is from RNAcentral.
UUAGAGUUAUGCUGAUAGUCAUUUGGCGUCAACAGUAUCGUCGUUUGGAUCUUCCAUCUUCGGAUCAAUCGAGCGAGACAUGGAUUCGGGUGACGCAACAACACGUGUAAAUAUAAUUAAUGUCGCUAGAGCAAAUAAGGGUGAGAUGGUCACGAUUGAAGUGGUGUAACCGGGGAGUGGAUUGAUAGUUGUGCGUCAGUCCUGC